This 267-nucleotide long non-coding RNA is filed under the name Helianthus annuus (common sunflower). RNAcentral's name for it is "hypothetical non coding rna". Lineage: Eukaryota; Viridiplantae; Streptophyta; Magnoliopsida; Asterales; Asteraceae. The record is from RNAcentral.
GUGGAUCGAAUGAGAAUGAAAAGUUUGUUGGAGAGAGUGUAGAGGAGGUUAGAGUGAGAUGAUCGGAGUGUGGUGAUGUGAUUGGUUGUUGGAGAUCGGGUAUGGAUCCGGAUCCAUUUGUUGGAGUCCGGGUCGUAGGCGUGGGUGGACGGGUACGGGCACUGGUACUGUUUGUUUCGGUGUAGUUGUUCAUGAAUGUAACUAAACGUCAGAGGGUGGUCACAGAAACAACUGUCUUUGUAGCGAGACUAACUAGUGUUGUUUUUG